Long non-coding RNA from Gasterosteus aculeatus aculeatus (three-spined stickleback), 699 nucleotides. Lineage: Eukaryota; Metazoa; Chordata; Actinopteri; Perciformes; Gasterosteidae. The record is from Ensembl.
GUUCAAAUCUGGGUGCCCCCUUUUUAAAAACAACUUAGAAAGCAUAGGAUAUGGAAAUUAUUCUACUAUUGAGUAUUUGUAUCAGGCAACAGGUGUUGCGAAAACUGUAAACCAAUAGCAACUGAGCAUUGUUUCUGGAUGUUGGAUUCAGUAGAAAAUUAUAGUUUAGGGUAAGAGUUUUCUCAGAAAAUGCCAGCUUGUCUAUAGAGGACACAGCAUUGCACUAUUAAAGGCAUUCACAUCACCCAGUAUGAUGAUGCAAGCGCUCUAUGUGAUAGGAGAUGCACUCUGAACAUCUGAAAAAAGUUAUCAGAUUUGGGGGUAUAGCUCAGUGGUAGAGCAUUUGACUGCAGAUCAAGAGGUCCCCAUUUCAAAUCUGGGUGCCCCCUCUUUAAAUACCUUCUUAGACCGCAUAGGAUAUGGAAAUUAUUCUACUAUUGAGUAUUUGUGUCAAGCAACAGGUGUUGCAAAAACUGUAAACCAAUAGCAACUGAGCAUUGUUUCUGGAUGUUGGAUUCAGUAGAAAAUUAUAGUUUAGUUUAAGAAUCUUCUCAGAAAAUGCCAGCUUGUCUAUAGAGGACACAGCAUUGCACUAUUAAAGGCAUUCACAUCACCCAGUAUGAUGAUGCAAACGCUCUAUGUUAUAGGAGAUGCACUCUGAACAUCUGAAAAAAGUUAUCAGAUUUGGGGGUAUAGCUC